Non-coding RNA from Leptonychotes weddellii (Weddell seal), 457 nucleotides. Lineage: Eukaryota; Metazoa; Chordata; Mammalia; Carnivora; Phocidae. The record is from RefSeq and is a predicted model, not a curated record.
CCAGGCGGGAGGGACCGGCAGGAGAAGGGCAGCCUCCCCUUUCGGUCCUGCCCAGUAUUAGGUUCCCAGAACGCUCUGGAAGAGACAGAGAGGGAGAGGUGGAAAUAGAGCCAAGGGAAGGGAAGAACUCCGUGCGAUUUUCCUCAUCUGAAAACCGCAUGAAGAUGAAAUCGGGGUCCUGGCGCUGGUGAAGUGAGUAAGCAGCCCCUGUUCCUUUUGGCACUUGAACAUCUCUCCCUGGGUUUUCUGUGGAUUCCAAGGAUGCAACUGGUGAAUGCUUUCACCACCGGUGCCACCGCCCCCCCACACCCCAUCAGGCAGGCCCCACAUUUGGGGGCCCCAUCCCAACAGGUGACACCACAACAACUACAGUUGAGAGUGUCACACACCUCGGGGCACUUCAGCCAGGGAACUUCCUUGUUCGGACCAUUAAGAAGAAUCAAGAUUUUGGGGUACC